GGAACAUUCUGGGAGGCCGAGGUGGGCGGAUCACGAGGUCAGGAGAUUGAGACCAUCCUGGCUAACACGGUGAAACCCCGUCUCUACUAAAAAUACAAAAAAAUUAGCCGGGCGUGGCGGCGGGCGCCUGUAGUCCCAGCUACUUGGGAGGCUGAGGCAGGAGAAUGGUGCGAACCCGGGAGGCAGAUUUUGCAGAGAGCCGAGAUCGUGCCACUGCACUCCAGCCUGGGCGACAGAGCAAGACUCCGUCUCAAAACAAAAAACAAACAAACAAAUAUGGAGCAUUCUGAUAUGAAUAAGACACUUGCUCACUUCUCAAUUCCUUGGUGUCCAGCUCUACAAGUGUAUAUAGACUUCCAAAGAAUAUUUAAAUCCUUUAACAAAAAUGCCACCUAAGAAAAUAUGAAAUACUUCAGUCUGUCUGUCAGUGCUCACUUCCUGUCUAGAAACUUUCAGGCUCCGGCACAAAUGAACCAUGUUCUUCGCCUAAGUCAUUUAUGGAACAUCUGCUUUCGGUUUAGCAUCAGGGGAAACAAAGCAAAGAAGAAUGACACUGAAGAAUCAAAAAAAAAAAUGAGCAUAAGACCCAUGAAGAUUACAGACACAUACACUCCUAAAAUUAAACAUUAAGCGGAAUAAAAAUAAUCCCAGAUUAUAUGGUCUGACAUGCCAGAAGAAAUAAAAACCUAAGGAAUUAGUUAAAAUCUGUGCAAAAAAAAAAAAAAAAAAAAAAAAAAAAAAA
Molecule: long non-coding RNA, 742 nt
Filed under: Homo sapiens (human)
Lineage: Eukaryota; Metazoa; Chordata; Mammalia; Primates; Hominidae
Description: HSALNT0312830
Source: RNAcentral